CCUACGGGAGGCAGCAGUGGGGAAUAUUGGGCAAUGGGCGCAAGCCUGACCCAGCAAUGCCGCGUGAAGGAAGAAGGCUUUCGGGUUGUAAACUUCUUUGACAGGGGAAGAGCAGAAGACGGUACCCUGAAAACAAGCCACGACUAACUACGUGCCAGCAGCCGCGGUAAUACGUAGGUGGCAAGCGUUGUCCGGAGUUACUGGGUGUAAAGGGCGUGUAGACGGGAAGGCAAGUCAGAUGUGAAAUCUGGAGGCUCAACCUCCAAAUUGCAUUUGAAACUGUUUUUCUUGAGUACUGGAGAGGCAGACGGAAGUCCUUGUGUAGCGGUGAAAUGCGUAGAUAGAAGGAGGAACACCAGUGGCGAAGGCGGUCUGCUGGACAGCAACUGACGGUGAGGCGCGAAAGCGUGGGGAGCAAACAGGAUUAGAUACCCGAGUAGUC
RNAcentral lists this ribosomal RNA (442 nucleotides) under uncultured bacterium. RNAcentral describes it as "partial 16S ribosomal RNA". It matches the Rfam family "Bacterial small subunit ribosomal RNA", at positions 338 to 795 of the family's 1533-position model. The record is from RNAcentral.